UACGUAGGGCGCAAGCGUUGUCCGGAAUUAUUGGGCGUAAAGAGCUCGUAGGCGGUCUGUCGCGUCUGCUGUGAAAACUCGGGGCUUAACCCCGGGCCUGCAGUGGGUACGGGCAGACUAGAGUGCGGUAGGGGAGACUGGAAUUCCUGGUGUAGCGGUGAAAUGCGCAGAUAUCAGGAGGGAACACCGGUGGCGAAGGCGGGGUCUCUGGG
This 212-nucleotide ribosomal RNA is filed under the name uncultured bacterium. Its description in RNAcentral is "partial 16S ribosomal RNA". It matches the Rfam family "Bacterial small subunit ribosomal RNA", at positions 524 to 733 of the family's 1533-position model. The record is from RNAcentral.